RNAcentral lists this ribosomal RNA (128 nucleotides) under Cephalotus follicularis. Lineage: Eukaryota; Viridiplantae; Streptophyta; Magnoliopsida; Oxalidales; Cephalotaceae. The record is from RNAcentral.
UGGUGCGAUCAUACCAACACUAAUGCACCGGAUUCCAUCGGAACUCCGUAGUUAAUCACGCUUGGGUGAGAAUUGUACGAAGAUGGGUCUGUCACAUGAUUUUCAUAGACACGGGCUAAUUGCAUGAC